RNAcentral lists this ribosomal RNA (460 nucleotides) under uncultured bacterium. RNAcentral's name for it is "partial 16S ribosomal RNA". It matches the Rfam family "Bacterial small subunit ribosomal RNA", at positions 338 to 795 of the family's 1533-position model. The record is from RNAcentral.
CCUACGGGAGGCAGCAGUGAGGAAUAUUGGUCAAUGGACGAGAGUCUGAACCAGCCAAGUAGCGUGAAGGAUGACUGCCCUAUGGGUUGUAAACUUCUUUUAUAUGGGAAUAAAAUGUUCCACGUGUGGGAUUUUGUAUGUACCAUAUGAAUAAGGCACGGCUAACUCCGUGCCAGCAGCCGCGGUAAUACGGAGGAUCCGAGCGUUAUCCGGAUUUAUUGGGUUUAAAGGGAGCGUAGGUGGAUUUUUAAGUCAGUUGUGAAAGUUUGCGGCUCAACCGUAAAAUUGCAGUUGAAACUGGCAGUCUUGAGUACAGUAGAGGUGGGCGGAAUUCGUGGUGUAGCGGUGAAAUGCUUAGAUAUCACGAAGAACUCCGAUUGCGAAGGCAGUUCACUGGACUGCAACUGACACUGAGGCUCGAAAGUGUGGGUAUCAAACAGGAUUAGAUACCCUGGUAGUC